GUCACGCCCCGGGACCGGCGGAGGCCCUCCCGGUAGCGUGCCCAGACCCGCCAUAUGUCAACACAUAUAAGGCGUCUACAACAAAAGCGGAAGUAAAAGCAAGAAUAGAGCAAACGACGAGGUGAAAUAACUAUCAACUAAUGAUAUCAGAGCAAGUAAAGCUAGACAAUAAAGAAAUCAUAAGUAGUACAAUAUCUGUCUCAAAAGUACAAAAACGGUGGUCUCUAAUACACUGGUAGAACUCUCAACCUCUCCAAAAUAAAACACAACGAGAGGUAGACCACCUAGCGAAUCGUCCUCAAAGGAAGCUAGCUCGAAGCAACUCCCUUCCCGCGGUCCCUAGCCUCGCCCUGAGUGGAAGGCUCUGAAAACAUCGAGAAAAAGAGGGCGUGAGAACUAUAAGCUAUAGUUCCCAGUGGGCAAUUACUGACCUCAGCUCCUGCUCCACUAGGCCCCAAAAACAAAGGUAAGCAACGAUAAUAAUAAUAAGCAAUAAGGAGCAUGUAAAUAAACUGCUGAAAGAAAGCGUGAUGUAAACCAAAAUGUACAUCUAUUCUAUCCUUACAAUUACGUCCAAUGGCACUAGUCUAAUGUCAAUAACCCUUAUCAAUGCAUGAUGCAUAAGCUCUAUCAUGGCAACCAAGUAUGCUCUAAUGCAACAAGAGACUAUCAAAUAUACUACAUGUCUCAACACUAUGCUAAAAAAAUAUAUAAAUGUAAUCCAACUACUAAACCUAUCUAGUAGUGAUUAACCAAUCUCGACCCCGUAUCGAUUUCCAUUUCCAAUCAAGGACCUACCAAAGGUAGUCCAGCUUGUGCCGCCUAAGUGCCUGUGGUAGCCCGACAUUCCUACUCUUGGAAUGUGUCUGUCCCACUCGACCCCGUAGGCUUCUCAAUACCGCACGAGCGAACAUAGGUCGCAUAGGCUAACUCCGGAGUGCCGGCUUGUAGGGAGCGACCCUCACAAGCAUGUGCGAAUGAGCACAAAUGGCAAGCAAGCAAAGUCCAAGUCUAAAGUAUCCAAUCCUCAUGUCUCUAACAUGGUAUAGUCACUAGUAUCCCAAAGAUCUAGUUUAUGUCACAAUGUGAAGGUUCAACCUUUGCUACGCCUAGUGCCCUUUGAUGACACUUAGGCAAUCUGAUGUUCAAUAUGUAUUUCAAAUCCCUUGAUGGCCCUAUCCAUUAGGUUCACACGCGUCCCGAGCUCAAUGCCGCUUGAUGACAUUAGCUCUCUAAUUCACAUAGCUUCUAAAUGACAAUCUUGUCAAUUUUCAUGUCACAAGUAAUUGUAGGUUUACAUGCAUGAAUCCGAACUCAUUUAUACUAUAGAAGUAGGAUACCGCGUCUCAUAUAGAAUGCUAAAUGCAACCAUGGCCUAAUAAGCUACUCUCUACUACAUAGAGGUCCAAAAUUUCAUUAUAUAUAACGUAGGCCUUUUAAGCAUUCUAAAAUUCACAAUAAAUUCGUAUAACAAGAAUAUGCAUGCUUUUUCAUUUAACAACACUUAAUUAAACACACAUGAGAAUUUCUCAUUGUGUGGCUAGGUCAAACCCACCGAACCGUCGCGUAGGGUCUCGAUUCGCCGAACGAAGUUGUCCACGAGCCUCAAGAUACCCUAAAAGUGGUCAGUGAAGAGAUACGGGAGCAUCACGACCAACCGUAAGAUCAAACAUUAACCUAGGAGCAAAAAGGGCCAAAAUUUACCUCAAGAGUAGAAAUCUCUCCCAAAGCUCCAAAAGAGAGCUAGAACCCUUCCAAUCCAAGCCCUAGGAAGGUUCUAAACCAAUCAAUUUAGCCCCAAAAGCCCUAGAUCAAAAAUGCCCAAAAUUAAACCCUAAAUCUCAUUCUAGGGUUAAAACAAGCAAAAAGCUCCAAAACUAAGAUCUAGAGGGAGGAACCUUGCCACAUACCUCUAGGAUGCUCCAAUCCAAGCUCAAAAUCUUCUAGGGUUGAAGUUGGUCCACCACUAAGCUCUACAAGCAAGCUCCAAGCCUUGCCAAGGUGGGAAAGAGAGAAAGGGGUUGAGCUCCAAGCUCCCUCAAACUAGCUUCUCUUCUUCUUCUCCUCCUUCUUCUUCUUCUCCUUCUUCUUCUUCUCUCUCUAGAAGGUGUAGGGUGGUGAGAAAUGAGGAGGGAAGGGAGUGAAAUGGCUAAUAAGCCCAUCUAGAGUAACAAAAUCCAACCAGGCCCCUCAAAAACCCAAUAUUACAUCAGCCCGAACUGGGCAGUUUUCGCCCAGAGGGACCGGUCUCUCCCCAGCUGGGACCGGUCUCUCGCUGCGAACCCGAAAACCAGCGUUCGGGAACCGGUCUCUCCCUGCGCGGGACCGGUCUCUCACUGCGAAGACGCGUUCGGGAACCGGUCUCGCCUGCCAGGGACCGGUUGCCUCAGGCUGCCUCAAUACUGCUCACUGGGGGAACCGGUCUCUCAUUCCAGGGACCGGUCCCCGAGAGUAAAAACUCUCAGGACUGUCCAGAAUUCCAGUUUUCGAACGUUUCGGGUCGGGGAACAUUUUACAACCCUCCACCAAGUGUGGAAAAGCCAGAAAUACAUCCAAACACUCGAACCUCGCAAUUUGCAAAGGUCCAGUGUGUU
Molecule: long non-coding RNA, 2594 nt
Filed under: Ananas comosus (pineapple)
Lineage: Eukaryota; Viridiplantae; Streptophyta; Magnoliopsida; Poales; Bromeliaceae
Description: long non-coding RNA (ACOM_LNC037301)
Source: RNAcentral